Molecule: long non-coding RNA, 223 nt
Filed under: Hordeum vulgare
Lineage: Eukaryota; Viridiplantae; Streptophyta; Magnoliopsida; Poales; Poaceae
Description: long non-coding RNA (HVUL_LNC021715)
Source: RNAcentral
CUCACUGAUUUUGGGUCCCGUUGUGAUCCGAACGUUUUGGGAACCCCGGGGUCCGGUUACGGGGAACUCGUUAAAACUCGCAGUUUUGGCUUAUUCUGCCGAGUUUUGUAAGAAUUACUCACUCAUAUUCCGUCCCGCUGCGAUCCGAACGUUUUGGGUACCCCGGGGUCCAGUUACGGGGAACUCGUGAAAACUCGCAGUUUUGGCCUAUUCCGGCCAGUUU